RNAcentral lists this ribosomal RNA (425 nucleotides) under Verrucomicrobiota bacterium. RNAcentral's name for it is "Verrucomicrobia bacterium partial 16S ribosomal RNA". It matches the Rfam family "Bacterial small subunit ribosomal RNA", at positions 355 to 776 of the family's 1533-position model. The record is from RNAcentral. Lineage: Bacteria; Pseudomonadati; Verrucomicrobiota.
UGAGGAAUAUUGGUCAAUGGGCGAGAGCCUGAACCAGCCACGUCGCGUGAAGGAAGACUGACCUUACGGUUUGUAAACUUCUUUUGUAGAGGGGUAAUGGCAGAUACGUGUAUUUGCGUGAAAGUACUCUACGAAUAAGCAUCGGCUAACUCCGUGCCAGCAGCCGCGGUAAUACGGGGGAUGCGAGCGUUAUCCGGAAUUAUUGGGUUUAAAGGGUGCGCAGGUGGCUAAUCAGGUCAGUGGUGAAAAGCUAUGGCUCAACCAUGGUCUUGCCAUUGAAACCGUAUAGCUAGAGAGGAGACGAGGUAGGCGGAAUGUGUGGUGUAGCGGUGAAAUGCAUAGAUAUCACACAGAACUCCGAUUGCGAAGGCAGCUUACGGGAGCGCAACUGACGCUGAAGCUCGAAGGUGCGGGUAUCGAACAGG